CCGCGCCCUGCCACACUCAACAAUAUCUCUUUCCAAAUAUAAUGACUUGGUUACUCAUGAAAAUCCACAGACCUUAUUGUGCCCAGUUUCUGCUUUUCACAGUAGUCAAAUCUCAGUGCGAAAGUAUCUGGAUGGAUACAUAGCACUCUGGAAAAAAACAAACACUGUUUAAGAAAAGAUGAUGACCAAAAAGGGAUUGAACCAAGCGAGGGACAAACUUGAGUAAUCGGUUCGGCUUUUCAGCAAUGGCGAGAGUUCAGGAAUUUGAAGGGCUUCAAAAGUGAGCUUGCAGUAUUUUUGCUGGACAGUGCUCAGAUGUCAGGCAGCGCUUGUUGGCUGGACCACAACAGCGGGACCAGCCCUACAAACGCGAAUGUCUGUGACUGACUGAGUGACUGAGUGAUGAAGUUACACCAUUGCUCGGCCGAGUUAUGGAGUUACACCAUAACUCGGCCGGAGAGGUCCAGCCAUUUACUAGGUUUUGACAUGGUCUUGUUUGGAGUGUUUGGAGGACAGGGCAUUGGAUGGAGGGGGUGGAAUUGUUUUUUUUUUUUUCAAAAUCUCUAGCUUGGUUUUUCCAAGGUUACAUACUGAUACUUCGAGAAGAAAUAAAAAAUGAACAUGAA
Long non-coding RNA from Anguilla rostrata (American eel), 626 nucleotides. RefSeq lists it as uncharacterized. Lineage: Eukaryota; Metazoa; Chordata; Actinopteri; Anguilliformes; Anguillidae. The transcript is spliced from 3 exons. The record is from RefSeq and is a predicted model, not a curated record.